Molecule: long non-coding RNA, 2245 nt
Organism: Mustela lutreola (European mink)
Lineage: Eukaryota; Metazoa; Chordata; Mammalia; Carnivora; Mustelidae
Exons: 3
Source: RefSeq, a predicted model, not a curated record
CGGGGGGGGGCGGUGACUGUGCCAGAGCUGACCCUUCCAGGGGUCAGCAUUCAGCAUUCAGAUUGGUCUCUUGCAGCCUCGAGAAUCCUAAUCAUGCAGCGGCAGCUUGGGUAGGCCCUUCCCAUUGAUUCCUGGCCCUGGUGGUCUCCCCAGCCUCCAACAGGAACUAACCCAGCUCCUGGCACCUCAGAAACAUUCAGGAAACUCCACUCAUGUGACACUUCUCUGUAAAGGAUCUGCGCUUUGCCUCCCACCUGGACGGGUGAACAAUUCCCAGUUGGCCUCUCUUCCCCUUAGCCUCCGUGCCACGGAGCCAGAGUGAUCCAUCCGAAUGGCCACCCUCGUGUUCACUUUGCUGGAGACAGCCUUGGCAUCUGAUUUUGAAGCUCUACUCAUUAAAGAAUCUGGGCUGGCCUCUUCACUUGCUUUGCCACUAAAAUAUGGCAGAAGUGAUGUUGUGUUUCUAGAGACCGUGCCUACGUGCUGAACCCCCAUCACUGCCAUGGGAAUGAGCCCAGGCCAGUCUGCUGGGAAUGAGACACCCCACAGAGGGGAGCCAAGCCGGCCAAGGCCAACGAGGACCAGCCCACCUGACCCUCAGCUGCCGACACGUGGGUGAGCCCGAUCAAGUUCAGCUGAGACCGCCCAGGUUGGCGGGACUUCCCAGGUGGUCCACAGACUCAUCAACCAGAUACAUGGCUAUUGUUUUACAUUUUGCGGGUGGUGUGUCACCCAGCAAUUACCUCCAGAUACAACACGUAACACCCAAGUAUGAUCGCAUCACUCCACCGACUUCAACCUUUUCAAUAGCUCCUCAUUGCCCUCUGGAAAAAGUUCCAUCCCCCUCUCCAGCUUGGGAGGGCCCUCCUCAUCUAUAUUUUACUUUUUGCAGCGGCCCUUCCACGUGGAAAUUUCUACCGCAUAUCUCUGGAGUUUUCCUUGCGUCCACGCUGUCACUUUCGCUAGUCUCAUGACCUGGAAUUUUCCCGACUCAGCUCAGGUGCCACCUCUCAUGGGAGCCCCUCUCCGAUCUCCCAGGUGGGGUUCCAUGCAUGAUUUCUCUGUCAGGUUCUGAGAUGGCCUUGUCUCAGUCCCCUCUGUCAAUGCAACUAUCUACUGAGGACCAGCCAUGUGCCAGAAGCUCAUCUAGAUACAGGAGAGAGAAAUAGAAGUGGUGGCUGCCUUCUGUCCCCAGGCCAGUGGUCUCCUGAAAGAUCAUUUCAACAACUUGUGGCAAGGUUGGUGAGAUGGGAGCAUGAGAACCAUACGCUACGGAUGGAAUAGAAAACUAGAAGCAGUCCAAAUCCUUGAUGGCUUUCUUAAGUGUCUUCAGAGCUACCGCAGGCUUCUGGGCACGUCCAGGCAGAGACCCGCUCAGAAGCUCUUCUCUGCGACCAAAGAUGCUUCUCGUCUUCUUCCUGCUGAGGAACACACCUCUCCCUGGCCCACUGCCUACUGGACACAAGAGAAUGAUAAAACCUCAUCUGUUCAGGGACCAUAGUUAGAUGCCUGUUACACUUGUUAUCCUAACCUUUAGAGGAGAUGGAUAGGGAGCCCAAGGGAACCUGUAUCUGACAUAAAGAAACAAAGAGCAUGAGGUUAGGGUAUAGCUAGCUUCUCUGGGAGAUAGGGAACCUCUGUUCAAGGUGAACUUUCUCACGGUGGUGUCCUAGUGCAAGUCAUUUGUUUCUGAGCACACUGGAGGCACUUAAAUAUGUAUAUAUUCACAUGCAUGUUUGUGUUACAUGCAUGUUACAUGUAAAUACAUGUAUACAUUUAAGUAUGCAUGAAAAUGCAUACAUAUUUAAGUAUGUUAGUUUGUAUACAAACAUAUGUAACACAUGCAUGUAAACUAUCUAUGGGUGUACGGAUUAUAGAUUGUUUGUGAUGAAGAGAGUGUUGGAACUAGUUGAGGACCCACGAUCCUACCAGCUGGACAGAGUUAUGCCUGCAUGGCCAGGGACCAUGGGACCAUGGCCAGGGACCAGGGACGAUGGCAGAUCAGAGCGCUUAAGAACACAGACUCCCUGGGUUCAAACCCCAGUGUCGCCAACGAGUACAUUGUUUCAACUCUGUGUCUCAGUGUCCGCCAUUUGUGCACGGGGGAUAAUAACACUGCCUCAUGGUUUCAUCAGGAGAAUUCAGUGAGAUGAAAUUUGCAAAGCACUUGGAACAGUAACUGGCACUGGGUAAGCCACUGCGUUGGCUCAUUAAAUGUCAGCGCAGUGCGUCUGGCCUUGUCCAA